CUGCUCAGGACGAACGCUGGCGGCGUGCCUAAUACAUGCAAGUCGAGCGGAACCAUUGGAGCUUGCUCCUUUGGUUUAGCGGCGGACGGGUGAGUAACACGUGGGCAACCUGCCCUGCAGAUCGGGAUAACUCCGGGAAACCGGUGCUAAUACCGAAUAGUUUGCGGCCUCUCAUGAGGCUGUACGGAAAGACGGUUUCGGCUGUCACUGCAGGAUGGGCCCGCGGCGCAUUAGCUAGUUGGUGAGGUAACGGCUCACCAAGGCCACGAUGCGUAGCCGACCUGAGAGGGUGAUCGGCCACACUGGGACUGAGACACGGCCCAGACUCCUACGGGAGGCAGCAGUAGGGAAUCUUCCGCAAUGGACGAAAGUCUGACGGAGCAACGCCGCGUGAGUGAAGAAGGUUUUCGGAUCGUAAAACUCUGUUGUGAGGGAAGAACAAGUACCAAUAACUACUGGAC
RNAcentral lists this ribosomal RNA (461 nucleotides) under Planococcus maritimus. RNAcentral describes it as "bacterial SSU rRNA". It matches the Rfam family "Bacterial small subunit ribosomal RNA", at positions 20 to 473 of the family's 1533-position model. The record is from RNAcentral. Lineage: Bacteria; Bacillati; Bacillota; Bacilli; Caryophanales; Caryophanaceae.